GAGAUUGAGUCUAUCAGCAGGAAGUCAAACUAACUUCAUUUCACAAAGAUACAAACUUGCAGCCUGAUUUGUUUUUAAUUUCCCUGCCUUCUCAGGCCUCACAAACAGGGCCUGUAAAUUCCUGAAACUUCAGAACGAGACCUCAGCUAUACAAAGAAGAUUUCAAGCUUGAUUUAAAGGGACCACUGGGAACACGUGGAAAAAAAACCACUGAGACAGAACAUGUGAGAUGAGCUGAGGACUCUCCCCACCACGCACCUUUUAUAUUUACAGUGAUCUUAAUGCAUGAAGAAACAACAAACAAGAGCUCUCCAAAGAAUGGAGGUGUGACUUCAUACUCAAGAAGACAGGAAGUGCCUGCUCAGCUCAAGGGACACAGGAAGGGUGGGAGCAGCCUCAACGUGGGAAUUGCAACCGAGAUUGGAAGCACAGCAGCCAAAUGCAGUAAAU
Long non-coding RNA from Equus quagga, 450 nucleotides. RefSeq lists it as uncharacterized. Lineage: Eukaryota; Metazoa; Chordata; Mammalia; Perissodactyla; Equidae. The transcript has 4 exons. The record is from RefSeq and is a predicted model, not a curated record.